AUGGGACCUGAUUACAAUUACUUCGAGAGGGGUAAUCUCGACAUUUUCAGUGGAAGAGCACCGUGUUUACCUAGUCCGAUCUGUGCCUUAAACCUAACCUCUGAUGGCUCCGGUGAUCACCAUGGUUGGUACGCUAAUUACGUUGAGGUCACGACGGCUGGUGUUCACGCACAGUGCUCGACGCAGGAUUUUGAGAUUGAGCAAUGGCUCGCUACUGAUACUUCUCCUUAUGAGCUCACCGCCGUUCGUAAC
Molecule: long non-coding RNA, 252 nt
Filed under: Arabidopsis lyrata
Lineage: Eukaryota; Viridiplantae; Streptophyta; Magnoliopsida; Brassicales; Brassicaceae
Description: long non-coding RNA (ALYR_LNC000735)
Source: RNAcentral